UGGGGAAUAUUGGACAAUGGGCGCAAGCCUGAUCCAGCAAUGCCGCGUGUGUGAAGAAGGCCUUCGGGUUGUAAAGCACUUUUAUCAGGAGCGAAACGCUGUCGGCUAAUACCCGGCGGAACUGACGGUACCUGAGGAAUAAGCACCGGCUAACUUCGUGCCAGCAGCCGCGGUAAUACGAAGGGUGCAAGCGUUAAUCGGAAUUACUGGGCGUAAAGCGUGCGUAGGCGGUUUCUUAAGUCUGCUGUGAAAUCCCCGGGCUCAACCUGGGAAUGGCAGUGGAUACUGGGAGGCUAGAGUGUGUCAGAGGGUGGUGGAAUUCCCGGUGUAGCGGUGAAAUGCGUAGAGAUCGGGAGGAACAUCAGUGGCGAAGGCGGCCACCUGGGACAACACUGACGCUGAGGCACGAAAGCGUGGGGGAGCAAACAGGAUUAGGAUACCCUGGUAGUCCACGCCCUAAAGCGAUGCGAACUGGAUGUUGGUCUCAACUCGGAGAUCAGUGUCGAAGCUAACGCGUUAAGUUCGCCGCCUGGGGAGUACGGUCGCAAGACUGAAACUCAAAUGAAUUGAC
This 571-nucleotide ribosomal RNA is filed under the name uncultured bacterium. Its description in RNAcentral is "partial 16S ribosomal RNA". It matches the Rfam family "Bacterial small subunit ribosomal RNA", at positions 355 to 914 of the family's 1533-position model. The record is from RNAcentral.